Molecule: small nuclear RNA, 106 nt
Organism: Delphinapterus leucas (beluga whale)
Lineage: Eukaryota; Metazoa; Chordata; Mammalia; Artiodactyla; Monodontidae
Source: Ensembl
GUGCUGCUUCAGCAGCACAUAUACUAAAAUUGGAACUAUAAGCAGAAGAUUAGCAUGGCCCCUGAGCAAGGAUGACGUGCAAAUUCGUGAAGCGUUCCACAUUUAA